CGAUAUUGGUAAUACUGUUUCUGGGCAAAUUGGUAUAGUUGGCACCCCUGACGUAGCUGGCGGCACGGCCCGGGCCGCGCGGUGCUUGAUCAGCUGACUGACAGGACUAGCUCUAAUGAAGGUAUUCCCAUCUGACAAAAGUGAGAGCACUGCUCCGCCCAGCCAUCGCCUCCAGCAUUCAGCGGAGUGUGGCCGGCUCAGCAGGAUCCAGUCCCACCUCCAGAGGCAUAUCAUGGUGGGCAGCACAAACAGUCUUGAGCAACAUACACCUUCGGGUCUCUGGAUGACCUCCCCAGCCUCCUAAAGCCCAGAAAAAGAAGCCUUUGCCCCCAG
Molecule: long non-coding RNA, 333 nt
Organism: Eriocheir sinensis (Chinese mitten crab)
Lineage: Eukaryota; Metazoa; Arthropoda; Malacostraca; Decapoda; Varunidae
Exons: 3
Source: RefSeq, a predicted model, not a curated record